AUGCAAGCAUGUGUUGUUACGCCUUCAAAUUCAACUAUAAACAAUGAAUCUUUAUUGCUCAAAGUAGUUAUCCCAAUAACCAGCAUAGUUUUACUUGCUAUGGUCAUGUUUGGCAUAUUGAUAUGGAGAGGAAAGCACAAGAGCAAAUCUAUAUCUCAACCAUCAUUUGGUACAAAAUUUCCCAAGGUUUCUUUUAGUGAUCUAGCCAGAGCGACACAUGGAUUCUCAAAGUGCAACUCAAUUGGUGGCAGGAGAUACAGUUCUAUAUAUCGAGGAAAACUAGUUGAAGAUGAAAUUGAGGUUGCCAUAAAAGUCUUCAACUUAGAGACAAGAGGAGCACACAAGAGCUUCAUUGCAGAAUGUAAUGUGCUGAGAAAUGUGUGGCAUCGUAAUCUGGUCCCAAUCGUAACUGCGUGCUCAAGCAUUGAUUCUACUGGUAAUGAUUUCAAGGCCCUGGUGUAUGAGUUCAUGCCACGAGGAGACUUACAUAACCUAUUAUAUACAACUAUAGACUACGAAGGCUCUUAUGAUUUGGACCUUCUUCCAAUGAGUCAAAGGUUGUGCAUCGUGGUGGGUGUAGCGGAUGCAAUGGAGUACCUACACCAUAACAACCAAGGAACAAUGGUUCAUUGUGAUCUGAAGCCUAGCAACAUUCUAUUGGAUGACAAUAUGACAGCUCAUAUUGGAGACUUUCACCUAGUAAGAUUCAAAGUUGGUUCUGCGAUGCCAUCUAUUGGUAACCCAAGCUCUUCUUCGGUUGGACUAAUGGGAACGAUCGGAUAUGCAGCUUCGGAAUAUGCAGGGGGUGGUCAUCUUUCAACUUCCACGGAUGUUUACAGCUUUGGUGUCGUCCUUCUCGAAAUAUUCCUUCGGACAAGACCAACUGAUGACAUAUUUAAGGAUGGACUGAGCAUUGUGAAGUUAACAGAGAUCAGCUUCCCUGAUAGGGUAAUGGAUAUUGUCGAUCCUCAGCUGACACAAGAGUUGGAGCUUUGCCAAGAAACUCCAACAGCCUUGAAGGAAAAAGGUGUACGCUCUCUGCUAUCUAUGCUAAAUGUUGGCCUUUCUUGCACGAAGCCUUCUCCGAAUGAACGCACCAACAUGCAGGAGGUGGUUGCUACAUGGCAUCAAAGAUGCAUAUCUCAGAGGAAAUUG
RNAcentral lists this ribosomal RNA (1155 nucleotides) under Triticum aestivum (bread wheat). RNAcentral describes it as "partial small subunit ribosomal RNA". Lineage: Eukaryota; Viridiplantae; Streptophyta; Magnoliopsida; Poales; Poaceae. The record is from RNAcentral.